GACGAACGCUGGCGGCGUGCUUAACACAUGCCAGUCGAACGGAAAGGCCCUGCUGUUUUGUGGUGCUCGAGUGGCGAACGGGCGAGUAACACGUGAGUAACCUGCCCUUGACUUUGGGAUAACUUCAGGAAACUGGGGCUACUACCGGCUAGGAGCUCCUGCUGCAUGGUGGGGGUUGGCUAGUUUCGGCGGGUGGGGAUGGACUCGCGGCUUAUCAGCUUGUUGGUGGGGGAGUGGCUUACCCAGGCUUUGGCGGGUAGCCGGCCUGAGAGGGUGACCGGCGACAUGGGGACUGAGAGACGGCCCAGACGCCUACGGGAGGCAACAGUGGGGAAUAUUGCACAAUGGGCGGAAGCCUGAGGCAGCAACGCUGCGGGCGUGAUGACGGCCUUCGGGUGGGAAACCGCGUUCGCCUGUGACGAAGCGUGAGUGACGGUAAUGGGUAAAGAAGCACCGGCUAACUACGUG
RNAcentral lists this ribosomal RNA (468 nucleotides) under uncultured bacterium. RNAcentral describes it as "partial 16S ribosomal RNA". It matches the Rfam family "Bacterial small subunit ribosomal RNA", at positions 28 to 507 of the family's 1533-position model. The record is from RNAcentral.